GACCUGAGCUCAGACAAGGUUACCCGCUGAACUUAAGCAUAUCAAUAAGCGGAGGAAAAGAAACCAACCAGGAUUCCCCUAGUAACGGCGAGCGAACCGGGAAAAGCCCAACUUGAAAAUCUCCCUUUGGAGAAUUGUAGUCUACAGAAGUGCCCUCUGUGGCGGGAGGAGUUCAAGUCCGCUGGAAGGCGGCGUCAGAGAGGGUGAGAACCCCGUCAACUCCUACCUUGCUACACCACGAGGUGCUUUCCACGAGUCGGGUUGUUUGGGAAUGCAGCCCAAAUUGGAGGUAAAUCCCUUCUAAGGCUAAAUAAUGGCGAGAGACCGAUAGCGAACAAGUACC
This 343-nucleotide ribosomal RNA is filed under the name Chloromonas pichinchae. RNAcentral's name for it is "eukaryotic LSU rRNA". It matches the Rfam family "Eukaryotic large subunit ribosomal RNA", at positions 1 to 352 of the family's 3401-position model. The record is from RNAcentral. Lineage: Eukaryota; Viridiplantae; Chlorophyta; Chlorophyceae; Chlamydomonadales; Chlamydomonadaceae. RNAcentral also lists the same sequence under 1 other name.